Molecule: non-coding RNA, 176 nt
Filed under: Tissierellia bacterium
Lineage: Bacteria; Bacillati; Bacillota; Tissierellia
Description: 6S RNA
Rfam family: 6S / SsrS RNA
About the family: E. coli 6S RNA was the first non coding RNA to be sequenced, but its function was unknown until recently.
Source: RNAcentral
UAACUUCUGCGAUGUGCGCAAGUCCGAAUAAUUCAACCGACGUGAGAGAUACGGGAGUUCGAGUUUAGCAGUCUAGAGCAUGCCUUCCUUGGAAGGAAGCUCGAAGCUGCUAACAGGGCACCCACCUUGUGAGAGGCGGGUGUGAAUUAGUCGGAUAGCGGCAUUGCGGGAUACAA